This 265-nucleotide ribosomal RNA is filed under the name uncultured Glomus. RNAcentral's name for it is "partial 18S ribosomal RNA". It matches the Rfam family "Eukaryotic small subunit ribosomal RNA", at positions 548 to 817 of the family's 1831-position model. The record is from RNAcentral. Lineage: Eukaryota; Fungi; Glomeromycota; Glomeromycetes; Glomerales; Glomeraceae.
UUGGAGGGCAAGUCUGGUGCCAGCAGCCGCGGUAAUUCCAGCUCCAAUAGCGUAUAUUAAAGUUGUUGCAGUUGAAAAGCUCGUAGUUGAAUUUCGGGAUCAAUGUUUCGGUCAUGCCGUUGGUAUGUACUGAUAUUAUUGAUUUCUCACCUUCUAAAGAACCGUAAUGCCAUUAAUUUGGUGUCACGGGGAAUUAGGACUGUUACCUUGAAAAAAUUAGAGUGUUUAAAGCAGGCUCACGCUUGAAUACAUUAGCAUGGAAUAA